Molecule: ribosomal RNA, 369 nt
Filed under: Streptomyces sp. WPS132
Lineage: Bacteria; Bacillati; Actinomycetota; Actinomycetes; Kitasatosporales; Streptomycetaceae
Description: bacterial SSU rRNA
Rfam family: Bacterial small subunit ribosomal RNA
Source: RNAcentral
CGAACGGGUGAGUAACACGUGGGCAAUCUGCCCUUCACUCUGGGACAAGCCCUGGAAACGGGGUCUAAUACCGGAUACGAGCCUCCAAGGCAUCUUGGAGGCUGGAAAGCUCCGGCGGUGAAGGAUGAACCCGCGGCCUAUCAGCUUGUUGGUGAGGUAAUGGCUCACCAAGGCGACCGACCGGUAGCCGGCCUGAGAGGGCGACCGGCCACACUGGGACUGAGACACGGCCCAGACUCCUACGGGAGGCAGCAGUGGGGAAUAUUGCACAAUGGGCGAAAGCCUGAUGCAACGACGCCGCGUGAGGGAUGACCGCCUUCGGGUUGUUAACCUCUUUCAGCAGGGAAGAAGCGAGAGUGACGGUACCUG